UACGUAGGGCGCAAGCGUUGUCCGGAAUUAUUGGGCGUAAAGAGCGUGUAGGCGGCCAGACAGGUCCGUUGUGAAAACUCGAGGCUCAACCUCGAGACGCCGAUGGAAACCGUUUGGCUAGAGUCCGGAAGAGGAGAGUGGAAUUCCUGGUGUAGCGGUGAAAUGCGCAGAUAUCAGGAAGAACACCCGUGGCUAAGGCGGCUCUCUAGUACGGUACUGACGCUGAGACGCGAAAGCGUGGGGAGCGAACAGG
Molecule: ribosomal RNA, 253 nt
Filed under: uncultured bacterium
Lineage: Bacteria
Description: partial 16S ribosomal RNA
Rfam family: Bacterial small subunit ribosomal RNA
Source: RNAcentral